UCCGAUACGGUGUAGUGGCUAACAUUAUCGCCUCUCAUGCCUGAGAACCUGAUGAUAAUUAUGUAUUGCGCGAUAGCCCGGGGUUCGAUUCCCCGUAUCGGAA
Rhodocollybia butyracea is the source of this 103-nucleotide non-coding RNA. The record is from the annotation of a GenBank genome assembly. Lineage: Eukaryota; Fungi; Basidiomycota; Agaricomycetes; Agaricales; Omphalotaceae.